AUUGAACGCUGGCGGCAUGCUUUACACAUGCAAGUCGAACGGUAACAGGCCUUCGGGUGCUGACGAGUGGCGAACGGGUGCGUAAUGCAUCGGAACGUACCCAGAGGUGGGGGAUAACGCAGCGAAAGCUGUGCUAAUACCGCAUGUGAUCUGAGGAUGAAAGCGGGGGACCGAGCAGCAAUGUUUGGCCUCGCGCCUUUGGAGCGGCCGAUGUCGGAUUAGCUAGUUGGUGGGGUAAAGGCCUACCAAGGCGACGAUCCGUAGCUGGUCUGAGAGGACGACCAGCCACACUGGGACUGAGACACGGCCCAGACUCCUACGGGAGGCAGCAGUGGGGAAUUUUGGACAAUGGGCGCAAGCCUGAUCCAGCAAUGCCGCGUGCGGGAAGAAGGCCUUCGGGUUGUAAACCGCUUUUGGCAGGAACGAAACGGUGUCCGCUAAUACCGGGCGCUAAUGACGGUACCUGCAGAAUAAGCACCGGCUAACUACGAG
This 492-nucleotide ribosomal RNA is filed under the name uncultured bacterium. Its description in RNAcentral is "partial 16S ribosomal RNA". It matches the Rfam family "Bacterial small subunit ribosomal RNA", at positions 29 to 507 of the family's 1533-position model. The record is from RNAcentral.